RNAcentral lists this RNase P RNA (360 nucleotides) under Acidimicrobiia bacterium. Its description in RNAcentral is "RNase P RNA component class A". It matches the Rfam family "Bacterial RNase P class A". Rfam says of the family: Ribonuclease P (RNase P) is a ubiquitous endoribonuclease, found in archaea, bacteria and eukarya as well as chloroplasts and mitochondria. Its best characterised activity is the generation of mature 5'-ends of tRNAs by cleaving the 5'-leader elements of precursor-tRNAs. The record is from RNAcentral. Lineage: Bacteria; Bacillati; Actinomycetota; Acidimicrobiia.
UGAGUUCGCCGGACGGCCGCGGGCGAGCCUUCGGGUUCGAUCGAGGAAAGUCCGGACUCCACAGGGAAAGAGUGCUGGGUAACACCCAGGCGGGGCAACCCGACGGAAAGUGCCACAGAGAACAGACCGCCUAUGUCGCUUGCGGCAGGUAAGGGUGAAACGGUGGUGUAAGAGACCACCAGCACGGCAGGAGACUGCCGUGGCUCGGCAAACCCCACUCGGAGCAAGGUCAAGCAGGAGCAGGGCGUCCCGCCCGGCACGCUCCAGGUAGACCGCAUGAGGUCGCUGGCAACAGCGGCCCCAGAUAGAUGGUCGUCGCGGGCAACCGCACAGAAUCCGGCUUACAGGCGGACUCACACG